Molecule: ribosomal RNA, 1212 nt
Filed under: Micrococcus luteus
Lineage: Bacteria; Bacillati; Actinomycetota; Actinomycetes; Micrococcales; Micrococcaceae
Description: bacterial SSU rRNA
Rfam family: Bacterial small subunit ribosomal RNA
Source: RNAcentral
GCUGGGUGGAUUAGUGGCGAACGGGUGAGUAACACGUGAGUAACCUGCCCUUAACUCUGGGAUAAGCCUGGGAAACUAGGUCUAAUACCGGAUAGGAGCGCCUACCGCAUGGUGGGUGUUGGAAAGAUUUAUCGGUUUUGGAUGGACUCGCGGCCUAUCAGCUUGUUGGUGAGGUAAUGGCUCACCAAGGCGACGACGGGUAGCCGGCCUGAGAGGGUGACCGGCCACACUGGGACUGAGACACGGCCCAGACUCCUACGGGAGGCAGCAGUGGGGAAUAUUGCACAAUGGGCGAAAGCCUGAUGCAGCGACGCCGCGUGAGGGAUGACGGCCUUCGGGUUGUAAACCUCUUUCAGUAGGGAAGAAGCGAAAGUGACGGUACCUGCAGAAGAAGCACCGGCUAACUACGUGCCAGCAGCCGCGGUAAUACGUAGGGUGCGAGCGUUAUCCGGAAUUAUUGGGCGUAAAGAGCUCGUAGGCGGUUUGUCGCGUCUGUCGUGAAAGUCCGGGGCUUAACCCCGGAUCUGCGGUGGGUACGGGCAGACUAGAGUGCAGUAGGGGAGACUGGAAUUCCUGGUGUAGCGGUGGAAUGCGCAGAUAUCAGGAGGAACACCGAUGGCGAAGGCAGGUCUCUGGGCUGUAACUGACGCUGAGGAGCGAAAGCAUGGGGAGCGAACAGGAUUAGAUACCCUGGUAGUCCAUGCCGUAAACGUUGGGCACUAGGUGUGGGGACCAUUCCACGGUUUCCGCGCCGCAGCUAACGCAUUAAGUGCCCCGCCUGGGGAGUACGGCCGCAAGGCUAAAACUCAAAGGAAUUGACGGGGGCCCGCACAAGCGGCGGAGCAUGCGGAUUAAUUCGAUGCAACGCGAAGAACCUUACCAAGGCUUGACAUGUUCUCGAUCGCCGUAGAGAUACGGUUUCCCCUUUGGGGCGGGUUCACAGGUGGUGCAUGGUUGUCGUCAGCUCGUGUCGUGAGAUGUUGGGUUAAGUCCCGCAACGAGCGCAACCCUCGUUCCAUGUUGCCAGCACGUAAUGGUGGGGACUCAUGGGAGACUGCCGGGGUCAACUCGGAGGAAGGUGAGGACGACGUCAAAUCAUCAUGCCCCUUAUGUCUUGGGCUUCACGCAUGCUACAAUGGCCGGUACAAUGGGUUGCGAUACUGUGAGGUGGAGCUAAUCCCAAAAAGCCGGUCUCAGUUCGGAUUGGGGUUU